This 495-nucleotide ribosomal RNA is filed under the name Arabidopsis thaliana (thale cress). The record is from RNAcentral. Lineage: Eukaryota; Viridiplantae; Streptophyta; Magnoliopsida; Brassicales; Brassicaceae.
GGGCAAAGUUGGCAUGUGAUACCUUUUCGGAAAGCCCAAAGAGAACUCUCCGAUGAAUGAGGAAGGACAAUGGAAUUUUUCUAUUGUUUUUUUUUUCUAGUCAAAAUUUUGACCUUAAUGUACUUUUUCUGGCCUUUUCGUGAUUUGCUAUAUUACGGGACGAAGAUUAUACGUUCGGACAUUGUUUUCAAAUAUUUUGCAUGUAUCAAAGCUCUUAUAAACAAGAUAGGUAUUCCUACAUAGCUGGUGGGACCCACGGCAAAUGGAUCAUAAAGUCUUCAAAAAAAAUAUAUAUGAUUGCAUUGCAUGUAGUAACUGAUGCGAUCAUACCAGCACUAAUGCACCGGAUCCUAUCAGAACUCUGCAGUUAAGCGUGAUUGGGCGAGAGUAGUACUAGGAUGGUUGACCUCAUGGAAAGUCCCUUGUGUUGCAUUCUUCUUUUUUUCGGUUUUUCUCUUUUUUUUUUGUUAAGAAUGUAUGACUCGAUAACUUAUA